ACUUGGACGACUUGUUCCACCCAGCGCCAGUGCGGGAGUAUAAGGAGAGACGAGAAGGACCGGCUCCAUCCAGCCCUGAGGAUCCCAAAGAAAGGGUGGAAACACCCUGGAUGUGCUAAGCUGUGGCCGGGUACACUCGAGUGUUAAUUUUUUGGAGUCAAAGCCUCCCUCAGUCAAAUCGAAGAAACUGAAGCACUUGUGACUGACCCAGAUCUUCACGGAAGAAAGGGGAUUCGAACCCGGCUGACCCAGAAGCCUGGGCUCUAUACUCAAUGUAGCAUUCUCACAGACACCCAAGAUAACGUUAUCCUCAUGGAAACGAGCUCCACGAAGUGACCUACCCCAGAGCCUCAAGGCUGUGAUGAUGCUGGAAUGAGAAACAACAGGAGAGUUACCAAGAG
RNAcentral lists this non-coding RNA (401 nucleotides) under Pongo abelii (Sumatran orangutan). Lineage: Eukaryota; Metazoa; Chordata; Mammalia; Primates; Hominidae. The record is from RNAcentral.